Vidua chalybeata is the source of this 814-nucleotide long non-coding RNA. RefSeq lists it as uncharacterized. NCBI's taxonomy places the organism in Eukaryota, Metazoa, Chordata, Aves, Passeriformes, Viduidae. The transcript is spliced from 3 exons. The record is from RefSeq and is a predicted model, not a curated record.
CAUAAUGGCUGCAGCCCGCAGGCCCAUAUGCUCGCCAUCCUGCGAGGUGGAAGGCCAGCUCUGAUCACAUCCAGCUGCUGGGGAUACGACUGAUCAGAUCCUCAGGUUUUUUGGCAAGAUACUUUUGGAAGAACACCUCAACCAGACCAUACUUCCAAAGAGCUGAACCUUCAGUGCUGCAGGCAGUAGUUUUGUAUUUUGGAGUAUUGUCUUGCACAUCAUUCCCUGACACAGAGACACGGACCACUAAUGGCAUGAUAGGAGCAUGUUUGCCAAACCGUGGCUUGUGCAGCCUCCAUGGAGCCACCUGAGAAAAUUCCCACCCCACUGGCUCCUGGGGUUGGGCUGGGAGAGGAAGGUGUGGCUGUCUGAGGAUGUGGGGCUGCUCAGGAGCAAGGGCUUCUUCAGGGCUGUCUGAUACAGCACAGGAGACACAAAAACUGCUCAAACCCCCAGACUUCCAGCAAAGGGGUUCCUAGAGCUGCAUGCUCUCAACACCAGACUUGAACUGGACUGUUUUAAGGCUGUUCUUCAUUUAAAUCCUAAUCCAAGUAUCAAUCUUGAGCCUACAUCUUCAAAUGAUUCCAACAUCAGCUGAACAUUCCCAGAACUCUGAGGUUAUCUGAUAUUUUAUUAUAAGCAGCCACAAUGCAGUGCUAAUGUUUGCUACUUUCCUAAUGUACAUCACAGGGAUGGGAAGAUUGGAUCUGUGGCAUUCCCAGCUCCAGUAUUUUCAUGAGUUCCCUUAAUACAGUAUUUUCCCCAGCUUGUACUAUUCCUGGUAGAAUAUAGAAUCAUUAAAGUUGGAAAAGAC